This 490-nucleotide ribosomal RNA is filed under the name uncultured bacterium. Its description in RNAcentral is "partial 16S ribosomal RNA". It matches the Rfam family "Bacterial small subunit ribosomal RNA", at positions 30 to 507 of the family's 1533-position model. The record is from RNAcentral.
AUUGAACGCUGGCGGCAGGCCUAACACAUGCAAGUCGAACGGUAACAGGAAGAAGCUUGCUUCUUUGCUGACGAGUGGCGGACGGGUGAGUAAUGUCUGGGAAACUGCCUGAUGGAGGGGGAUAACUACUGGAAACGGUAGCUAAUACCGCAUAACGUCACAAGACCAAAGAGGGGGACCUUCGGGCCUCUUGCCAUCGGAUGUGCCCAGAUGGGAUUAGCUAGUAGGUGGGGUAACGGCUCACCUAGGCGACGAUCCCUAGCUGGUCUGAGAGGAUGACCAGCCACACUGGAACUGAGACACGGUCCAGACUCCUACGGGAGGCAGCAGUGGGGAAUAUUGCACAAUGGGCGCAAGCCUGAUGCAGCCAUGCCGCGUGUAUGAAGAAGGCCUUCGGGUUGUAAAGUACUUUCAGCGGGGAGGAAGGGAGUAAAGUUAAUACCUUGGCUCAUUGACGUUACCCGCAGAAGAAGCACCGGCUAACUCCGUG